CCUACGGGAGGCUGCAGUGGGGAAUAUUGGACAAUGGGCGAAAGCCUGAUCCAGCCAUGCCGCGUGUGUGAAGAAGGCCUUCGGGUUGUAAAGCACUUUCAGUGGGGAAGAAAGCCUUGGGGCUAAUACCCUCGAGGAAGGACAUCACCCACAGAAGAAGCACCGGCUAACUCCGUGCCAGCAGCCGCGGUAAUACGGAGGGUGCGAGCGUUAAUCGGAAUUACUGGGCGUAAAGCGCGCGUAGGCGGUCUGAUAAGCCGGUUGUGAAAGCCCCGGGCUCAACCUGGGAACGGCAUCCGGAACUGUCAGGCUAGAGUGCAGGAGAGGAAGGUAGAAUUCCCGGUGUAGCGGUGAAAUGCGUAGAGAUCGGGAGGAAUACCAGUGGCGAAGGCGGCCUUCUGGACUGACACUGACGCUGAGGUGCGAAAGCGUGGGUAGCAAACAGGAUUAGAUACCCUUGUGUC
RNAcentral lists this ribosomal RNA (464 nucleotides) under Vreelandella stevensii. RNAcentral's name for it is "partial 16S ribosomal RNA". It matches the Rfam family "Bacterial small subunit ribosomal RNA", at positions 338 to 795 of the family's 1533-position model. The record is from RNAcentral. Lineage: Bacteria; Pseudomonadati; Pseudomonadota; Gammaproteobacteria; Oceanospirillales; Halomonadaceae.